GACGAACCGUGCGAACGUUGUUCGGAAUCACUGGGCUUAAAGGGCGCGUAGGCGGGCAAUCAAGUCUGAGGUGAAAUCCUCCAGCUUAACUGGAGAAGUGCCCCGGAUACUGGUUGCCUCGAGGAUGGUAGGGGCAUCUGGAACUAGCGGUGGAGCGGUGAAAUGCGUUGAUAUCGCUAGGAACUCCGGUGGCGAAGGCGAGGUGCUGAACCAUUUCUGACGCUGAGGCGCGAAAGCCAGGGGAGCGAACGGG
RNAcentral lists this ribosomal RNA (253 nucleotides) under uncultured bacterium. RNAcentral's name for it is "partial 16S ribosomal RNA". It matches the Rfam family "Bacterial small subunit ribosomal RNA", at positions 524 to 776 of the family's 1533-position model. The record is from RNAcentral.